GGGUCAGUAGGUUGGUCGUGCCACCGGUACGUACUGGUCUCACUGAUUCCUCCUUCCUGAAGAACCGUAAUGCCAUUAACUUGGUGUUGCGGGGAAACAGGACUGUUACUUUGAAAAAAUUAGAGUGUUUAAAGCAAGCUAACGCUUGAAUACAUUAGCAUGGAAUAAUGAAAUAGGACGAUCGAUCCUAUUUUGCUGGUUUCUAGGAUUGACGUA
Molecule: ribosomal RNA, 216 nt
Filed under: Glomeromycotina sp.
Lineage: Eukaryota; Fungi; Glomeromycota
Description: partial small subunit ribosomal RNA
Rfam family: Eukaryotic small subunit ribosomal RNA (bases 87-216)
Source: RNAcentral